CACGCAGGCGGUCUGCUACAUCUUGGGUGACAGGUCCCGGCUCAACUGGGGCAGUAUCCGGGAAAUGGGCAGACUUGAGGACUUCAGAGGGACGCGGAAUUCCAGGUGGAGCGGUGAAAUGCGUAGAGAUCUGGAAGAACACCGAUGGGCGAAGGCAGCGUCCUGGGAAGUCUCUGACGCUCAGGUGCGAAAGCUAGGGGAGCGAACGGGAUUAGAUACCCCGGUAGUCCUAGCUGUAAACGAUGACCACUAGACGUGGGGGGUAUCGACCCCUUCCGUGUCGAAGCAAACGCGAUAAGUGGUCCGCCUGGGGAGUACGGUCGCAAGAUUAAA
Molecule: ribosomal RNA, 333 nt
Filed under: uncultured bacterium
Lineage: Bacteria
Description: bacterial SSU rRNA
Rfam family: Bacterial small subunit ribosomal RNA
Source: RNAcentral